GAUGAACGCUGGCGGUGUGCCUUAGGCAUGCAAGUCGAACGCUCCCUUCGGGGAGAGUGGCAGACGGGUGAGUAACGCGUAGGAAUCUACCCAGUAGUGGGGAAUAGCUCGCCGAAAGGCGGGGUAAUACCGCAUACACCCUCCGGGGGAAAGCAUUUAUGCGCUAUUGGAGGAGCCUGCGUCCUAUCAGGUAGUUGGUGGGGUAAUAGCCUACCAAGCCUAUGACGGGUAGCCGAUGUGAGAGCAUGAUCGGCCACAAGGUCACUGAGACACGGGGCCUACACCUACGGGUGGCAGCAACCGGGAAUAUUGCGCAAUGGGCGAAAGCCUGACGCAGCGACACCGCGUGUGGGAAGACGCUUUUCGGAGUGUAAACCACUGUGGCGAGGGAUGAAUUUUUGACAGUACCUCGCUAGAAAGCACCUGCUAACCACG
This 435-nucleotide ribosomal RNA is filed under the name uncultured bacterium. RNAcentral's name for it is "bacterial SSU rRNA". It matches the Rfam family "Bacterial small subunit ribosomal RNA", at positions 28 to 505 of the family's 1533-position model. The record is from RNAcentral.